UACGUAGGGUGCAAGCGUUUAAUCGGAAUUACUGGGCGUAAAGCGUGCGCAGGCGGCUAUGCAAGACAGAUGUGAAAUCCCCGGGCUCAACCUGGGAACUGCAUUUGUGACUGCAUGGCUAGAGUACGGUAGAGGGGGGAUGGAAUUCCGCGUGUAGCAGUGAAAUGCGUAGAUAUGCGGAGGAACACCGAUGGCGAAGGCAAUCCCCUGGACCUGUACUGACGCUCAUGCACGAAAGCGUGGGGAGCAAACAGG
RNAcentral lists this ribosomal RNA (255 nucleotides) under uncultured bacterium. RNAcentral describes it as "partial 16S ribosomal RNA". It matches the Rfam family "Bacterial small subunit ribosomal RNA", at positions 524 to 776 of the family's 1533-position model. The record is from RNAcentral.